GCUGCACCACGUACAAAAUAAGAAAAACCAAUUGUUCAUAUCCACAAAUACUAGCCUGGGGUAGAAGAUGGUCGUUUCCUCCCAUGGUCCUGGUUGGAACCCCAGGUCCAGCCCCUGUGACGGGCUGCGGGCGUUAACACACAUCCUUCACAUUUUUGGACAAGAACCCACCAACCUGAACAGACAUCUUGCAGGAACUGAACCUCAGCUCCAAUGAGGAGACGACAUCUCAACAAGGUUCCAACAGAAUUUGAUGACUCUCAGUUCUAUGGACUGAUGAUAAAUCAAGGAGUUAGGGGGGGGGGCUGAUGCAGCAGCCUGAACCAGCACGCGUGUCCCCAGCUCUGAAUUGGACUGUGGUGGUUCUAGAUUGUUUUUAACACUAUAAAUUUCACCUUUUUUAAAUUCUGUGCUCUCCUUCAGAAAGGGUUCAAUAACCACAGACCUUCUACAUGAGCACAAUGGAGAAGUCUGAGAAACCACAGACACACACACCGAUAGACAAAUCACUAUGACUUUAAAAAUAGAAGGGUGGGGCCUCUGGUCACACAGCUUCAGGAAUCACUUCAUGGGGGGGGGGGGGGGGGGGGGGGGUUGGAAUGCUUGGAGGAAAGAAUCAGGAAAACACACACAGUCUCUGAACUGACCUCAUCAGUCAGUGUCCCCGAAGCGCAGCAGGGAUAUGUGUGUGUGUGUGUGUGUGUGUGUGUGUGUGUGUGUGUGUGUGUGUGUGCACCAAUGGACCCUGCAGACUGAGGACUGAACAGCUUCUCCCAUUUGUCCUGGAGGAAUGUUGCAGCAAUGAAACACCAAAGGAAAGAAUGAAUGAAUGAAUGAAUGAAUGAAUGAAUGAAUGAAUGAACACCCCCCCCCCCCCCC
This is a long non-coding RNA of Thalassophryne amazonica, 879 nucleotides long. RefSeq lists it as uncharacterized. The transcript is spliced from 2 exons. NCBI's taxonomy places the organism in Eukaryota, Metazoa, Chordata, Actinopteri, Batrachoidiformes, Batrachoididae. The record is from RefSeq and is a predicted model, not a curated record.